This 198-nucleotide ribosomal RNA is filed under the name Bacillus infantis. RNAcentral describes it as "partial 23S ribosomal RNA". It matches the Rfam family "Bacterial large subunit ribosomal RNA", at positions 1 to 196 of the family's 2925-position model. The record is from RNAcentral. Lineage: Bacteria; Bacillati; Bacillota; Bacilli; Caryophanales; Bacillaceae.
AGGUUAAGUUAGAAAGGGCGCACGGUGGAUGCCUUGGCACUAGGAGCCGAUGAAGGACGGUACUAACACCGAUAUGCUUCGGGGAGCUGUAAGUAAGCUUUGAUCCGGAGAUUUCCGAAUGGGGAAACCCUCCAUCCGUAAUGGGAUGGAACCCUUGCCUGAAUACAUAGGGCAUUGGAGGCAGACCCGGGGAACUGA